GACGAACCGAGCGAACGUUGUUCGGAAUCACCGGGCUUAAAGGGCGCGUAGGCGGGCUGCCGCGUCCGGGGUGAAAUCCCACGGCUCAACCGUGGAACGGCCUCGGAUACGGGCGGCCUCGAGGGGGGUAGGGGCAUCUGGAACUGUGAGUGGAGCGGUGAAAUGCGUUGAUAUUCACAGGAACUCCGGUGGCGAAGGCGAGGUGCUGGACCCCAUCUGACGCUGAGGCGCGAAAGCCAGGGGAGCAAACGGG
RNAcentral lists this ribosomal RNA (253 nucleotides) under uncultured bacterium. Its description in RNAcentral is "partial 16S ribosomal RNA". It matches the Rfam family "Bacterial small subunit ribosomal RNA", at positions 524 to 776 of the family's 1533-position model. The record is from RNAcentral.